RNAcentral lists this ribosomal RNA (322 nucleotides) under uncultured eukaryote. RNAcentral's name for it is "partial 18S ribosomal RNA". It matches the Rfam family "Eukaryotic small subunit ribosomal RNA", at positions 1470 to 1796 of the family's 1831-position model. The record is from RNAcentral.
CCCUUAGAUGUUCUGGGCCGCACGCGUGCUACACUGAGUAAUUCAAUGGGUAAGGGAACGCUAGAGCAUUACCUAAUCUUGAAAUUUGCUCGUGAUGGGGAUCGACGGUUGCAAUUUUCCGUCGUGAACGAGGAAUACCUUGUAGUCGCAUGUCAUCAUCAUGCGCCGAAUACGUCCCUGCCCUUUGUACACACCGCCCGUCGCUCCUACCGAUUGAGUGAUCCGGUGAGGCUCUGGGACCUGGACGGAAAGAGCGUUUCGCUUGUUCUGUUUGGGAAACUUGGUCGAACCUUAUCAUUUAGAGGAAGGAGAAGUCGUAACA